GUGGGGAAUAUUGGACAAUGGGCGCAAGCCUGAUCCAGCCAUGCCGCGUGAGUGAUGAAGGCCCUAGGGUUGUAAAGCUCUUUCAGUGGGGACGAUAAUGACGGUACCCACAGAAGAAGCCCCGGCUAACUUCGUGCCAGCAGCCGCGGUAAUACGAAGGGGGCUAGCGUUGUUCGGAUUUACUGGGCGUAAAGCGCACGUAGGCGGAUCGUUAAGUCGAGGGUGAAAUCCUGGAGCUCAACUCCAGAACUGCCUUCGAUACUGGCGAUCUUGAGUCCGGAAGAGGUGAGUGGAACUCCUAGUGUAGAGGUGGAAUUCGUAGAUAUUAGGAAGAACACCAGUGGCGAAGGCGGCUCACUGGUCUGGUACUGACGCUGAGGUGCGAAAGCGUGGGGAGCAAACAGGAUUAGAAACCACGGUAGUCC
Molecule: ribosomal RNA, 425 nt
Filed under: uncultured bacterium
Lineage: Bacteria
Description: partial 16S ribosomal RNA
Rfam family: Bacterial small subunit ribosomal RNA
Source: RNAcentral